GAUGAAGAGCGUAGUGAAAUGCGAUAAGUAAUGUGAAUUGCAGAAUUCAGUGAAUCAUCGAAUCUUUGAACGCACAUUGCGCCCCUUGGUAUUCCGAGGGGCAUGCCUGUUCGAGCGUCAUUAUAACCCCUCAAGCUCAGCUUGGUGUUGGGGCCUGCUGCACUGGCAGCCCUUAAAAUCAGUGGCGGCGCCAUCUGGCUCUAAGCGUAGUAAUUCUUCUCGCUAUGGAGUCCUGGUGGAUGCUUGCCAUCAACCCCCAAUUUUUCUAUGGUUGACCUCGGAUCAGGUAGGGAUACCCGCUGAACUUAAGCAUAUCAAUAAGCGGAGGA
This 329-nucleotide unclassified non-coding RNA is filed under the name soil metagenome. RNAcentral describes it as "partial contains 5.8S ribosomal RNA, internal transcribed spacer 2, and large subunit ribosomal RNA". The stretch from base 1 to 120 matches the Rfam family "5.8S ribosomal RNA", at positions 35 to 154 of the family's 154-position model. The record is from RNAcentral.